This 69-nucleotide transfer RNA is filed under the name Rhagovelia robusta. RNAcentral's name for it is "tRNA-Ser". It matches the Rfam family "tRNA". Rfam says of the family: Transfer RNA (tRNA) molecules are approximately 80 nucleotides in length. Their secondary structure includes four short double-helical elements and three loops (D, anti-codon, and T loops). Further hydrogen bonds mediate the characteristic L-shaped molecular structure. tRNAs have two regions of fundamental functional importance: the anti-codon, which is responsible for specific mRNA codon recognition, and the 3' end, to which the tRNAs corresponding amino acid is attached (by aminoacyl-tRNA synthetases). tRNAs cope with the degeneracy of the genetic code in two manners: having more than one tRNA (with a specific anti-codon) for a particular amino acid; and 'wobble' base-pairing, i.e. permitting non-standard base-pairing at the 3rd anti-codon position. RNAcentral also lists the same sequence under 3 other names. The record is from RNAcentral. Lineage: Eukaryota; Metazoa; Arthropoda; Insecta; Hemiptera; Veliidae.
AGUUAAUUAAGCUUUAGAAAGCAUGUAUUUUGAAAAUACAAGAUAGAAGUUAAAUUCUUCUAUUAACUU